This 1185-nucleotide ribosomal RNA is filed under the name metagenome. Its description in RNAcentral is "bacterial SSU rRNA". It matches the Rfam family "Bacterial small subunit ribosomal RNA", at positions 337 to 1520 of the family's 1533-position model. The record is from RNAcentral.
UCCUACGGGAGGCAGCAGUGGGGAAUUUUGGACAAUGGGGGCAACCCUGAUCCAGCAAUGCCGCGUGAGUGAAGAAGGCCUUCGGGUUGUAAAGCUCUUUUGUCAGGGAAGAAACGGUAGUCUCUAAUACAGAUUGCUAAUGACGGUACCUGAAGAAUAAGCACCGGCUAACUACGUGCCAGCAGCCGCGGUAAUACGUAGGGUGCAAGCGUUAAUCGGAAUUACUGGGCGUAAAGCGUGCGCAGGCGGUUGUGCAAGACAGAUGUGAAAUCCCCGGGCUCAACCUGGGAAUUGCAUCUGUGACUGUACGGCUAGAGUGUGUCAGAGGGGGGUAGAAUUCCACGUGUAGCAGUGAAAUGCGUAGAUAUGUGGAGGAAUACCGAUGGCGAAGGCAGCCCCCUGGGAUAACACUGACGCUCAUGCACGAAAGCGUGGGGAGCAAACAGGGUUAGAUACCCUGGUAGUCCACGCCCUAAACGAUGUCUACUAGUUGUCGGGUCUUAAUUGACUUGGUAACGCAGCUAACGCGUGAAGUAGACCGCCUGGGGAGUACGGUCGCAAGAUUAAAACUCAAAGGAAUUGACGGGGACCCGCACAAGCGGUGGAUGAUGUGGAUUAAUUCGAUGCAACGCGAAAAACCUUACCUACCCUUGACAUGUACGGAAUCCUGAAGAGAUUUGGGAGUGCUCGAAAGAGAGCCGUAACACAGGUGCUGCAUGGCUGUCGUCAGCUCGUGUCGUGAGAUGUUGGGUUAAGUCCCGCAACGAGCGCAACCCUUGUCAUUAGUUGCUACGAAAGGGCACUCUAAUGAGACUGCCGGUGACAAACCGGAGGAAGGUGGGGAUGACGUCAAGUCCUCAUGGCCCUUAUGGGUAGGGCUUCACACGUCAUACAAUGGUACAUACAGAGGGCCGCCAACCCGCGAGGGGGAGCUAAUCCCAAAAAGUGUAUCGUAGUCCGGAUUGGAGUCUGCAACUCGACUCCAUGAAGUUGGAAUCGCUAGUAAUCGCGGAUCAGCAUGUCGCGGUGAAUACGUUCCCGGGUCUUGUACACACCGCCCGUCACACCAUGGGAGCGGGUUCUGCCAGAAGUAGUUAGCCUAACCGCAAGGAGGGCGAUUACCACGGCAGGGUUCGUGACUGGGGUGAAGUCGUAACAAGGUAGCCGUAUCGGAAGGUGCGGCUG